Molecule: ribosomal RNA, 480 nt
Filed under: uncultured bacterium
Lineage: Bacteria
Description: partial 16S ribosomal RNA
Rfam family: Bacterial small subunit ribosomal RNA
Source: RNAcentral
UGGGGAAUUUUGGACAAUGGGGCGAAAGCCUGAUCCAGCAAUGCCGCGUGUGUGAAGAAGGCCUUCGGGUUGUAAAGCACUUUUGUCCGGAAAGAAAUCCUUGGCUCUAAUACAGUCGGGGGAUGACGGUACCGGAAGAAUAAGCACCGGCUAACUACGUGCCAGCAGCCGCGGUAAUAGCGUAGGGUGCAAGCGUUAAUCGGAAUUACUGGGCGUAAAGCGUGCGCAGGCGGUUUGCUAAGACCGAUGUGAAAUCCCCGGGCUCAACCUGGGAACUGCAUUGGUGACUGGCAGGCUAGAGUAUGGCAGAGGGGGGUAGAAUUCCACGUGUAGCAGUGAAAUGCGUAGAGAUGUGGAGAAUACCGAUGGCGAAGGCGAGCCCCCUGGGCCAAAUACCUGGACGCUCAUGCACGAAAGCGUGGGGAGCAAACAGGAUUAGAUACCCUGGUAGUCCACGCCCUAAACGAUGUCAACUAGUUG